RNAcentral lists this ribosomal RNA (491 nucleotides) under uncultured bacterium. RNAcentral describes it as "bacterial SSU rRNA". It matches the Rfam family "Bacterial small subunit ribosomal RNA", at positions 588 to 1084 of the family's 1533-position model. The record is from RNAcentral.
UCAGUUGUGAAAGUUUGCGGCUCAACCGUAAAAUUGCAGUUGAUACUGGCUGUCUUGAGUACAGUAGAGGUGGGCGGAAUUCGUGGUGUAGCGGUGAAAUGCUUAGAUAUCACGAAGAACUCCGAUUGCGAAGGCAGCUCACUGGACUGCAACUGACACUGAUGCUCGAAAGUGUGGGUAUCAAACAGGAUUAGAUACCCUGGUAGUCCACACAGUAAACGAUGAAUACUCGCUGUUUGCGAUAUACAGUAAGCGGCCAAGCGAAAGCAUUAAGUAUUCCACCUGGGGAGUACGCCGGCAACGGUGAAACUCAAAGGAAUUGACGGGGGCCCGCACAAGCGGAGGAACAUGUGGUUUAAUUCGAUGAUACGCGAGGAACCUUACCCGGGCUUAAAUUGCAGAUGAAUUACGGUGAAAGCCGUAAGCCGCAAGGCAUCUGUGAAGGUGCUGCAUGGUUGUCGUCAGCUCGUGCCGUGAGGUGUCGGCUUAAG